AGGGUUUGAUUCUGGCUCAGGAUGAACGCUAGCGGCACGCUUCAUACAUGCAAGUCGAGGGGCAGCAUAAAUUACUUGUAAUUUGAUGGCGACCGGCGAACGGGUGCGUAACGCGUAUGCAACUUACCUUUUACUAGAGAAUAGCCAAGAGAAAUUUUGAUUAAUGCUCUAUACUCUUAUUAACUCACAUGAGUUUUUAAGAAAAGCUCCGGCGGUAAAAGAUGGGCAUGCGUCCUAUUAGCUUGUAGGUGAGGUAACGGCUCACCUAAGCUCCGAUAGGUAGGGGUCCUGAGAGGGAGAUCCCCCACACUGGUACUGAGACACGGACCAGACUUCUACGGAAGGCAGCAGUAAGGAAUAUUGGACAAUGGAGGAAACUCUGAUCCAGCGAUGCCGCGUGAAGGAAGACGGCCCUAUGGGUUGUAAACUUCUUUUAUACAGGAAUAAACCUAUCCACGUGUGGAUAGCUGAAGGUACUGUAAGAAUAAGGAUCGGCUAACUCCGUGCCAGCAGCCGCGGUAAUACA
RNAcentral lists this ribosomal RNA (526 nucleotides) under uncultured bacterium. RNAcentral describes it as "bacterial SSU rRNA". It matches the Rfam family "Bacterial small subunit ribosomal RNA", at positions 8 to 527 of the family's 1533-position model. The record is from RNAcentral.